GUGAGACAGUUGUGUUAAAACAUAAGUUACGCCACAUUACAACAGUCCUGUGAACUAAAUAGUCAUCUGCAUUGGAACUGUUUACCCAGACAUAAAGAGAGGAGGUGAAUUAAUUGUUCUUACAAUCCUUGAUGAAGAACAUUAAAGAGUCUCUUAAGGAGCGUCAUAAGCUUUAACUCAUGUUUUUCUUCAAACAGACAGCCAUUCUGACCAGCUCUACAACAAAACGUCUGACCUGUGUGUUCAUGUUGACUCGAUACUGUCACUAUCAAUUCUGUUUCAACUGCAGCUUUAAGGGGAGGAGCUUCAGACAUCUUCUGUUUGACAAGGAAAGAAUGCAAAGUUUAGGUGAACAGUUUGUGUUGAUCUAAAACUUCAUCAUCUGCUUAUCAUCAACAUGUUGCUCUUCUUAACUGGUUUGAUUUGUUCUCUUAUUUGUGACAGUUUGGCAAAUAUCAUGCCAGUCCAGACUAAGGUUUAUGAGAAAGAGGGAGAAAUUGUUUCUCUGUCCUGUAACUACUCCUCAGCAUCCACACUACAGUGGUAUCGCCAAUAUCCCGGAUCAGCUCCUGAAUUUCUUCUGGCCAUUUCACCUUACUCAGGAAAAGUUUCACAAAAGUCAGAAAUUGUGGAUCAAGAUCCUCGAUUCUCUGGAAAAGUGAAUGAAUUGAAAACCCACAUGUAUCUGAACAUCUCUACGGCUAAAGUGACAGACUCUGCAAUUUACUACUGUGCCCUGGAGCCCACAGUGAGAGGAAACACUAGAACACUGUAUAAAAACCCUCUCAACAGCAAUACUAGAUGAGAUCAACCUCUCAAGAAACAUUAAGACUCGUCUGAUGUGAUCAUGGAAAGAGUCCAAAUGGCCAGUCAACAAAUAGA
This is a non-coding RNA of Megalobrama amblycephala (Wuchang bream), 882 nucleotides long. NCBI's taxonomy places the organism in Eukaryota, Metazoa, Chordata, Actinopteri, Cypriniformes, Xenocyprididae. The record is from the annotation of a RefSeq genome assembly.